RNAcentral lists this transfer RNA (69 nucleotides) under Salmonella enterica subsp. enterica serovar Typhimurium. RNAcentral describes it as "tRNA-Lys". It matches the Rfam family "tRNA". Rfam says of the family: Transfer RNA (tRNA) molecules are approximately 80 nucleotides in length. Their secondary structure includes four short double-helical elements and three loops (D, anti-codon, and T loops). Lineage: Bacteria; Pseudomonadati; Pseudomonadota; Gammaproteobacteria; Enterobacterales; Enterobacteriaceae. The record is from RNAcentral.
GGGUCGUUAGCUCAGUUGGUAGAGCAGACUUUUAAUCAAUUGGUCCAGGUUCGCCUGCACGACCCACCA